GCUCAAUGAACCAUCUAAGAUUGAAUCAUGUUAUGCAUUCAACGACAUCUAGAACCAUUCUCGUUAUUUUGGUAUUCAUGCAACAACUGUUAUUUCUUGUUUAUAGCGGUGUAUCGUGAUGAAGUAACUCUUGUCCUUGUCUAUCAGCUUGAAGUGUCCUCAGUCAGGAGAAGGCUCCAAUAACUUUAUGGUUGGUGGAUCUACACCUGCCCAAGCAAGCCCAGUGACAUGCACUGCGGCUCAAGAUGCUUCGACCUGCACGCCACAAUGAUCACUCGAGGUUUGCAUCACGAAUGCCGUCGACGGUGGGCAUACAUGAUGCGGUGGACACUCAUUGCAUAUUGUAGGUUGAACUCAUGCUUUCGUUUGUGAACUCUUGUUGCAUAUGUAAUGUUGUUGUGAACCCUCCUUGAAUAUGUAUGCAUGCUUUUGUGAAACUAUAUUGGAUAUGUAUGAGUGUGUGGACUUUGAACUCA
This is a long non-coding RNA of Hordeum vulgare subsp. vulgare (domesticated barley), 476 nucleotides long. RefSeq lists it as uncharacterized. NCBI's taxonomy places the organism in Eukaryota, Viridiplantae, Streptophyta, Magnoliopsida, Poales, Poaceae. The transcript has 2 exons. The record is from RefSeq and is a predicted model, not a curated record.